GCAUAUCAAUAAGCGGAGGAAAAGAAACUAACAAGGAUUCCCCUAGUAACGGCGAGUGAAGCGGGAUGAGCUCAAAUUUGUAAUCUGGUGGACUCAGUUCAUCCGAGUUGUAAUCUAUAGAAAAGUUUUCCGCGUCGGACCGUGUCUAAGUCCCUUGGAACAGGGUGUCAGAGAGGGUGAGAAUCCCGUGCUUGAUACGACCACCGAUGCUAUGUGAUACUUUUUCAACGAGUCGAGUUGUUUGGGAAUGCAGCUCAAAAUGGGUGGUAAAUUCCAUCUAAAGCUAAAUAUUGGCGAGAGACCGAUAGCGAACAAGUACCGUGAGGGAAAGAUGAAAAGCACUUUGGAAAGAGAGUUAAACAGUACGUGAAAUUGUUAAAAGGGAAACGAUUGAAGUCAGUCGUGCUCUCUGGGACUCAGCCAGUUCUUCUGGUGUAUUUCCCAGUGAGCGGGUCAACAUCAGUUUAGAUCGCUGGAUAAGGUCAUUAGGAAUGUGGCUCCCUCGGGAGUGUUAUAGCCUAGUGUCGCAUACAGUGGUUUAGACUGAGGAACGCAGCUCGCCUUUAUGGCCGGGGUUCGCCCACGUCCGAGCUUAGGAUGUUGACAUAAUGGCUUUAAACGACCCGUCUUGAAACACGGACC
This 642-nucleotide ribosomal RNA is filed under the name Holtermanniella festucosa. Its description in RNAcentral is "eukaryotic LSU rRNA". It matches the Rfam family "Eukaryotic large subunit ribosomal RNA", at positions 38 to 667 of the family's 3401-position model. The record is from RNAcentral. Lineage: Eukaryota; Fungi; Basidiomycota; Tremellomycetes; Holtermanniales.